CGCGGGCACAGCACAAGGAGGAGGAGUCGACCAUCUCCUUGAGCCAAAUGCACUCGUCCCUCCUCUCUGCAACAGCCCGUUCCUCUCUUAAACCUUGGCCAAACCCCCGCACCAUCUCUCCACUCGGUCUGUUUUUCCAUACCGUACAGUCUGAACACACCGGCACGAAAUGGAUACGGAAGGGAGCCAGAGCAGCCUGUCCUCCACGGACUCCCCUCAUGACCCCUGCAAAAUGUUCAUAGGCGGUCUCAGCUGGCAGACGACACAAGAGGGAUUGAAAGAGUACUUUUGCAAGUAUGGCGAGGUGAAGGAGUGCAUGGUGAUGCGGGAUCCAGUUACCAAGCGCUCUAGGGGUUUUGGAUUUGUCACGUUUGUUGACCAGGCCGGUGUGGAUUCAGUUUUGGCAGUAACCAGGCAUGAGUUGGAUUCAAAAACAAUUGAUCCGAAAGUUGCAUUCCCUCGUAGAGCCCAGCCCAAGUUAGUGACUCGGACCAAGAAGAUUUUUGUUGGAGGUCUGUCCGUGAACACGACCAUUGAGGAUGUCAAGGCGUAUUUCGAGCAGUUCGGAAAGGUUGAUGAUGCCAUGCUCAUGUUUGACAAGACCACCAACAGACACAGAGGGUUUGGCUUUGUCACGUUUGAGAAUGAGGAUGUGGUGGAGAAAGUGUGUGAGAUGCACUUCCAUGAGAUAAACAGCAAAAUGGUGGAGUGUAAGAAGGCUCAGCCCAAGGAAGUGAUGUCACCCACGGGCUCGGCCAGGGGGCGCACUCGGGUGAUGCCCUACGGCAUGGAUGCCUUCAUGCUGGGCAUCGGCAUGCUGGGCAGGGGGCAGCACUGUUUCACUCAAACACAGACCCAUGACUGUCCUUUCACCAUAGGUUACCCAGGGUUUCAGACAGCUACGUAUACUAGUCGAAGUUACACUGGCAUCACCCCUGGAUAUACCUAUCAAUUCCCUGAAUUCCAUUUAGAGAGGACCCCCCUUCUGACAUCACCACAUCCCCCUGAGCUCACAGCCAUUCCUCUGUCGGCAUACGGACCAAUGGCAGUGGCGGCAGCAGUAGCAAGAGGCUCCGCCCCCUCUCGCUCUGGGGGGUUCGGCAGCCCUGGGCCAAUGGCAGACUUAUAUGCAGCAGCCAAUCAGGAGUCUGCUGUCAGCAGUUACCUCAGCGCUGCAAGCCCCUCCCCAAACACUGGGUUCGGCCAUAGUCUGGGGGUAAGACACAGCCCUUAUCACGUAGGUAUUUUAGACCCUAUUCAUGUUUGGAAAUGCAAAAUGUGUCUGCAUACUAUCUGUUCAGUUUGUCAUAGGAAGACUAUCGAUGCGACAGAGCAGUGCUCCUAAGAUGUUGAUCUUGGCACAUGUUCAUAGAUCCAUCUUGCAAUACUGCCCAAUCCUGUGUUAUGACCGUAUACAUUCAAGGGGUCUGUUAUGAGCAUAGAAUUGUCUGUCAAUGUGUGACUGUCAAGUCAAAGGAACAAGUAAUGUUGCUCUUGGGUAAUAUACUGUCCAUUUUGACAGAUUUUGCUUGCACAUUUGGUGAGGGUUGUAUUAUUGAAUGUGAUAUGAUGUUGGGGAUGUUGAGAGUGUUGGGGAUGUUGAGUGUUGGUGGUUGUGUUCUAAUGACUGGGUGCUCCCUCUAAUCUCUCCUGUGUCUGACUGCUCCCUACAGGGUCCUCUGAUUGCUACGGCCUUCACUAAUGGCUACCACUGAGAGAAGCUGUGAACUGAGAGAUGGAAAGCUUUGAACUGGUCUGACACUCCUCUCUGGCUGUGUGACCCUGCAGGUGCAGUGGGAGCACUGACCCUUGACCCCUGAUGUCCACGCCCCUCCUCCCACUGAGGAUCUCUUUUCUUCUGACUUCCUGUGUUCGUUCUUAACAUCCCCUCCUGUCUAACAUGUUACUGUAGUUAGCAGAAAGGAACAACAACCUUUUAAAAAAUAUAUUUCUGCUUGUAUUAGAAAAACAUGCAGAUAAUUCUAGCUCCUUUUUAAAAUGUUAUUUCAUUUGACUCUUUUGUGGAAAUUGUCAUGUUCUCGUAUGUCUUAAUUAUUUUUUAUAUUUUUUUUCCAUUUGAUUCUUUUGUCAGAAGGUGUUUUUAUUGAGUGGCAGUGAGGGAGAAAAAGUGAUCUCCAGGUACGGAAUAUGUGAAGGACUGGAGCAAGUAUUUGUACUGAAUAAAUGUAUAUUUAUCUUUCAGUACCUACAGAACAUUGCUGAUAAUACCUUUUUUUUUUUGUAUGUGAAAAAUGUAUAUCUUGGUAUGUUUUUAACAAACAUUUGUUAUACUAAUAAUGAUAAAAGUAACAAAAUUGAUAGUCAUGAGCCUAUUUCCAGUCAGAUUUGAACUGCGUGAUAUCUGUUUUUUUGUAAAAUAUUGUAAAUAUAACUGCCUUUUGGAUUCUGCAAAAAAAUGAGGGGUAUUGGGAAGGCAGUGAUGGUAUUUGUUUUCAGCAGAUGUUUUUUAACUUUCAUUCAUACUGUUCGGCGUUGGCCACUCAGACUCAUACAUAUCAUAGUAUCAUAGUGUAUUUGUGUAAUUCCUAAUCUUUAGCUGUCUGAGUUGUGAGACUGGUCCAGGUAUGGUCCAGGUUGCUCCUAUACUGUGAAUUCACGCAGGAACCACUGUUAUCAGCACCGGGAGUGAGAAAGCUUGUGGGGAUAUUCCUCUUUUGAGUAGAGGCCUAAAACUGUUUCUUUCAUCCUUACUUGGAACUUAUUUUAUUGUUGUUUUUAGAAUGAUCAUUUUGAAUAUGUGGUGGUUGUAAAGGAAAAUGAAGGACAAACAUGCAGGAACCAGUCGUAAAAACAGUUUCACAGUGGUACGAUUUCACGGCUAGAUUCUUUCGCAGAUUGUGUUGUGUGACUGCGCGUUUGUGUGUGUGUGUGCAUUGUAUGGCUAUGCGGUCACACUGGAAUUAGGUGUGAAAUGUAUUGGCAGGGAAUGGAUACAUUGGUGGCAAAUGUGAAUUUAUCAUCUUCAUUUUGGUUUGUUAAUGAACGUCCUUGUCUCUGCCGAUGUGUGGAGAGGAUUCGUUCAUUUGUUUCAGUGCUAAAUUAACACUCAGAGGUGGUCCUGAGGCUCUUCCAUGAUGAGAUUGUAUGUAUUUCUCCUCAACCCCCCUUCUCCACACUGACCGAUACGCUGUACAUCUACUGGAUGAGAUAGACUGGAGCCAUGAAACUCAUGAGAAGCUAUAUACUUUUAAAAAAAUGUAACCUUUUUGCAAUGGGAGGUUAGAUAAGGUGUUUUACUUUUGUGGUUAGUUUAAGAACAAGAGGCACUGUCAAUUUCUAUCACCAAGUUGUAGAUGUUGAUAUUUUUCUAAGCCUGCUGAUGGAUUGCCAUGGUGUUGCAGCCUUUGGACUCUGUGUUUACUCUGAAAGGUUCUUGUCAACACUGUAACCCUCUUAAACAUUUUUACAAUUCCUAAUAAAUUAUUUUUAAACAUUCUA
RNA transcript from Oncorhynchus kisutch (coho salmon), 3459 nucleotides. It is a transcript of the gene named RNA-binding protein Musashi homolog 1, with no coding region annotated. Lineage: Eukaryota; Metazoa; Chordata; Actinopteri; Salmoniformes; Salmonidae. The record is from RefSeq and is a predicted model, not a curated record. The transcript is spliced from 14 exons.